This 1139-nucleotide ribosomal RNA is filed under the name Zoanthus sp. QL-2018. RNAcentral describes it as "bacterial LSU rRNA". It matches the Rfam family "Bacterial large subunit ribosomal RNA", at positions 1181 to 2332 of the family's 2925-position model. Lineage: Eukaryota; Metazoa; Cnidaria; Anthozoa; Zoantharia; Zoanthidae. The record is from RNAcentral.
CUAAGCCUGUCACCGAAGCUACGGAUUGUUCCGCUUGCGGAAUAGUGGUAGGGGAGCAUUCUGCUAACCGGCGAAGGUGAGUCGUGAGGCUUGCUGGAGGAGGCAGAAGAGCGGAUGCUGGCAUAAGUAGCGAUAAAUACUGUGAGAAUCAGUAUCACCGAAAAUCUAAGGUUUCCUCCGGAAGGCUCGUCCGCGGAGGGUUAGUCGGGACCUAAGGCGAGGCCGAAAGGCGUAGUCGAUGGACAACGGGUUAAUAUUCCCGUACUGAUUUUGGAUUGUGCAGAGGGACGGAGAAGGCUAAACCAGCCAGAUGUUGGUUACUGGUUCAAGCGUUUAGAUGUUGACGACUGGCGAAAACAGUCUGAGUCGAGGCGCGAGUACGAGUGGAUACGUCCGCGAAGUGGUUGAUGUCAUGCUUCCAAGAAAAGCUCUAAACACGUUAAUCUAUAGUUGCCUGUACCCGAAACCGACACAGGUAGACAGGUAGAGUAUACCAAGGCGCUUGAGAGAACGAUGCUGAAGGAACUAGGCAAAUUGCAUCUGUAACUUCGGGAGAAGGAUGACCUAUUUAUGGGCAACCAUUUGUAGGUGGCACAAACCAGGGGGUAGCGACUGUUUAUUAAAAACACAGGGCUCUGCAAAGUCAAUAGACGAAGUAUAGGGUCUGACGCCUGCCCAGUGCUGGAAGGUUAACAGGAAGGGUGUUAAGCUCUGAAUCGAAGCCCCAGUAAACGGCGGCCGUAACUAUGACGGUCCUAAGGUAGCGAAAUUCCUUGUCGGGUAAGUUCCGACCCGCACGAAUAGCGUAACGACAGCUGCACUGUCUCCACGAUGGACUCGGCGAAAUUGUAGUUGUGGUGAAGAUGCCACAUACCCGCGGUUAGACGGAAAGACCCCGUGAACCUUUACUGUAGGCUGAUAUUGGGUUGAGAUAUGUCUUGUGUAGGAUAGCUGGGAGGCUUUGAACCGGUGGCGCUAGCCAUUGGGGAGCCGUUGUUGAAAUACCAGCCUGGUCAUAUUUUAAUUCUAACUUUGAUCCCCUGAAUCGGGGCAAAGGACAGUGUCAGUCGGGCAGUUUGACUGGGGCGGUCUCCUCCCAAAGAGUAACGGAGGAGUGCAAAGGUACACUCAGCCUGGUC